RNAcentral lists this ribosomal RNA (497 nucleotides) under uncultured bacterium. RNAcentral describes it as "partial 16S ribosomal RNA". It matches the Rfam family "Bacterial small subunit ribosomal RNA", at positions 28 to 507 of the family's 1533-position model. The record is from RNAcentral.
GAUGAACGCUGGCGGCGUGCCUAAUACAUGCAAAUCGAGCAAACAGACCAGGAGCUUGCUCCUCUGACCUUAGCGGCGCACGGGACAGUAACACGUGGAUAACCUACCUAUAAGACUGGGAUAACUUCGGGAAACCGGAUCUAAUACCGGAUCAUAUAUUGAACCGCAUAGUUCAAUAGUGAAAGACGGUUUUGCUGUCACUUAUAGAUGGAUCCGCGCCGCAUUAGCUACUUGGUAAGGUUACGGCUUACCAAGGCCACGAUGCGUAGCCGACCUUAGAGGGUGAUGGGUCACACUGGAAUCGAGACACGGUGCAGACUCCCACGGGAGGCAGCAGUAGGGAAUCUUCCGCACUGGGCGAAAGCCUGACGGACCAACGCCGCGCGAGUGAUGAAGGUCUUCGCAGCGGAAAACUCCGUUCUGAGGGAAGAACAAAUGGGUCAGUAACUAUGCACGUCUUGACGGUAGCUAAACAGAACGGAACGGCUAACCACGUG